Molecule: ribosomal RNA, 308 nt
Filed under: uncultured eukaryote
Lineage: Eukaryota
Description: SSU rRNA
Rfam family: Eukaryotic small subunit ribosomal RNA
Source: RNAcentral
AAUAAUUUAUUUGAUGGUUUCUUACUACAUGGAUAACUGUAGUAAUUCUAGAGCUAAUACAUGCGUAAAGUCCCGACUCUCGCUGGGAGGGAUGUAUUUAUUAGAUAAAAAACCAAUGCGGGCUCUGCCCGGUUUUGUGGUGAAUCAUAGUAACUUUUCGAAUCGCAUGGCUUCACGCCGGCGAUAGUUCAUUCAAAUUUCUGCCCUAUCAGCUUUCGACGGUAGUGUAGUGGACUACCGUGGCGUUAACGGGUAACGGAGAAUUAGGGUUCGAUUCCGGAGAGGGAGCCUGAGAAACGGCUACCACA